UACAGAGGGUGCGAGCGUUGUCCGGAAUCACUGGGCGUAAAGCGCACGUAGGCGGACUCUUAAGUCGGUGGUGAAAUCCUGGAGCUCAACUCCAGAACUGCCUUCGAUACUGAGAGUCUUGAGUCCGGGAGAGGUGAGUGGAACUGCGAGUGUAGAGGUGAAAAUUCGUAGAUAUUCGCAAGAACACCAGUGGCGAAGGCGGCUCACUGGCCCGGACUA
Molecule: ribosomal RNA, 219 nt
Filed under: uncultured bacterium
Lineage: Bacteria
Description: partial 16S ribosomal RNA
Rfam family: Bacterial small subunit ribosomal RNA
Source: RNAcentral